CUUUCUGCUCGGGAUUAUCGCAUUUGGCUUUUAGGAUCGCGGCUGGAGUAUGAUUCACAGACAGCUCGUGCUGUCCCAGGGUUUGAUGUGCUUUGAGUCGCUGAAUCAUAAUGCUGCUACACCUGUGUAGUGUAAAGAACCUGUACCAGAGCAGGUUUCUGGGUCUGGCGGCCAUGGCCUCGCCGUCACGGAGCUCCCAGAGCCGGCGGCAGUGUAAGAGCGAGACACGCUUCAGCUCGGCUCGAU
This is a long non-coding RNA of Sinocyclocheilus anshuiensis, 246 nucleotides long. RefSeq lists it as uncharacterized. The record is from RefSeq and is a predicted model, not a curated record. The transcript is spliced from 3 exons. NCBI's taxonomy places the organism in Eukaryota, Metazoa, Chordata, Actinopteri, Cypriniformes, Cyprinidae.